Molecule: non-coding RNA, 232 nt
Organism: Pseudonaja textilis
Lineage: Eukaryota; Metazoa; Chordata; Lepidosauria; Squamata; Elapidae
Source: RefSeq, a predicted model, not a curated record
GGAAGGGAGAAAGAAGGAAAAAAAAAGAGAAAGACAGACAGACAGAAAGAAAAGGAAAGAGAGAGAGAGAAACCCUGAGGUUGGUACAUUCCUUUCAGGAAGAGGGACCCUGGGGUCAAAGGAGCCGGCGAGGGUCUUCCGGAAGCUUCCCCCUUGGCACAGCCGGAGUCCCAAGGGCAGAGGAGUCUUCUGCCUUGGGGGAAGGCAAGAGAAGACAACAUGCCGUUAUCGG